AGGACGAACGCUGGCGGCGUGCCUAAUACAUGCAAGUCGAACGGUCUUUCUAUGGAAGCUUGCUUCCACUGAGAAGAUAGUGGCGAACGGGUGAGUAACACGUGGGGUAACCUGCCCAUAAGAGGGGGGAUAACAUCCGGAAACGGGUGCUAAUACCGCAUAGUUUUCUUGAUCGCAUGAUCGGGAAAGGAAAGACGGCCUUUGUGCUGUCGCUUAUGGAUGGACCCGCGGCGUAUUAGUUAGUUGGUGAGGUAAUGGCUCACCAAGACGAUGAUACGUAGCCGACCUGAGAGGGUGAUCGGCCACAUUGGGACUGAGACACGGCCCAAACUCCUACGGGAGGCAGCAGUAGGGAAUCUUCCGCAAUGGACGAAAGUCUGACGGAGCAACGCCGCGUGAGUGAAAGAAGGUUUUCGGAUCGUAAAACUCUGUUGUCAGAGAAGAACAAGUUGGAGAGUAACUGCUCCAGCCUUGACGGUAUCUGACCAGAAAGCCACGGCUAACUACGUGCCAGCCGCCGC
RNAcentral lists this ribosomal RNA (521 nucleotides) under uncultured bacterium. Its description in RNAcentral is "bacterial SSU rRNA". It matches the Rfam family "Bacterial small subunit ribosomal RNA", at positions 26 to 518 of the family's 1533-position model. The record is from RNAcentral.